This 253-nucleotide ribosomal RNA is filed under the name uncultured bacterium. RNAcentral's name for it is "partial 16S ribosomal RNA". It matches the Rfam family "Bacterial small subunit ribosomal RNA", at positions 524 to 776 of the family's 1533-position model. The record is from RNAcentral.
UACGAAGGGGGCGAGCGUUGUUCGGAAUCACUGGGCGUAAAGGGCGCGUAGGCGGCGGGUCAAGUCGAGUGUGAAAGCCCCGGGCUCAACCUGGGAACGGCGCUCGGGACUGGUCUGCUGGAGUUCGGGAGAGGAGAGCGGAAUUCCCAGUGUAGAGGUGAAAUUCGUAGAUAUUGGGAAGAACACCGGUGGCGAAGGCGGCUCUCUGGACCGAGACUGACGCUGAGGCGCGAAAGCGUGGGGAGCAAACAGG